UAUUAAAAAUUUUAUCUAUUUGUAUUAUUAAAAUUUAUUGUGAUUGAUGGAAUAACUAGGCAGUGGCAUGUGGCAUGUCACGUGUACCUCAUAUUGAUGUACAAGAAUCAAUUUUUAACUGCAGAAAUGAAUAGAAUUUUAAAUA
Non-coding RNA from Gossypium hirsutum (cotton), 145 nucleotides. NCBI's taxonomy places the organism in Eukaryota, Viridiplantae, Streptophyta, Magnoliopsida, Malvales, Malvaceae. The record is from Rfam.